CCGACGACAAAAAUAGUCGUCGGCUAAAGUCUGGACUAUAGCCGACGACUUAUACGUGUGUCGUCGGCUAAAGUCACCACAGACGAGCUUUUCCCGACGAAAUCUUAGCCGACGAAACGUCGUCGGCUAAGAUCUUAGCCGACGAAUUAAGCUGACAGGCCGACGAAAAAUUUUCGUCGGCUAAAGUGCUUGUCCUGGUAGUGGUAGAAUACAACAAUCGAUGAUCCAAAAUAGAAGCACCGCAAUUUUGGAAUCUAGCGAACCAUAAAUUGUAUCUUAUACUCUCUUGACACGAACAAGACAUAUAGAAGAAUUGAGGAUUCUCAAUCUAAUAUUUAAGGAGAAAUGAGUAUGGGUUUAUAUAGAACCCCAAGUGAACCAACAUGUCCGUUCACUUAUCUCCUUGAAGAGACACACUUAUUCCUAAAGACACCUAUUGAAAAAGACACACCCUUUCAAAUGGAAAAGUCAUGAGUAAUUUUAUUUUCAUUCAUAUUUGAUAUUAUUACAUAAUUUCCAACAAGAGGAGCAUGAAAACCAGUAAACCACAUGCAAGUGAUGGGUUGGCCAGAGAUCGGAGAGACGUGCGGUCACUUUUACCGAAAAAUACAGAAAGAUUCGUCGGGCUCUUCCCCUUGAUUCUCUUCCUAUGGUCGAUGAACGUGGGUUUCGAGGGUAUAGGAGGACAUAAACAACGGUGAGAGACUACGAUCAGAUAGCGGUGGUCCGACGUCCUGGCUCAGCCGGACGACGGCAGCUAGAUUCUGAGUUCUCUCUACCCUCUCCCUCUCCUCGCUUCGGCGUUGUUUCUGGGUGCUAGGACCAUGCUUCAUCAACUUUCACCACUCCCAUAUUACCCAGUUUAACCAAUGAACUCCUGUUCCAACUUUUUUUUUUUUUUUUAACUAGAAAAAGUCCACUAACAGUAGCUUUUGGGCUUGAGUGAAACGAGAGGUUAUAUAUGCUACUGCCACGUCAGUAUGGUGAUAGAUCACCCAGUGAACUGAAAAAUUUUCGGACCAUAAAUAGUCGAUAUAUAAAACACGAUGAUCAAAAUUAAUCAUUUUAAAACCAUGGUGACAAACAUAACUAUGACUUCAAACCACGAUGACCAUUUAUAACUUUUACCUAUAACAAAAUGCAUCUUUUAUAUACUGCACGACUAUUGCUAAAUAACUAGGCAUUGAUGAUGAGCAUGUUUAGAAUGGGAGAUGGAAAAAAUUGAUAUGUAAAUAUUUUAUUUUCAUUGUAUACUUAUCAUACAGAAUCAAAAUAAGAAUGCAACUAAAUCGGUAUAGGUACCAUGAUAAAUAAUAAAUAGUACUUUCAGGGAUAGUCAUUAGAAAGUUGAGCUUAAUAAUUUAAUAUAAUAUUACUUUAGUGCUAUUAGAAACAGAUCGCCAUUUUCUCCCUUUGAAAACAAUGCAACACACACAUGCAAAACCUAUACACAAUUUUGUGUUUUGGACUACUCAAUUAUAUAAGAUGGAACUCUCGGAGUCCAUGUUGUAGGAUGGUUGUUUUACAUGUAUUUCGAU
RNAcentral lists this long non-coding RNA (1538 nucleotides) under Fragaria vesca (wild strawberry). RNAcentral's name for it is "long non-coding RNA (FVES_LNC005329)". Lineage: Eukaryota; Viridiplantae; Streptophyta; Magnoliopsida; Rosales; Rosaceae. The record is from RNAcentral.